CGAUGGGCACGCUAUUCCGCAUCGGCUGAGGUGAAGCGGGGAUCGCAAGGCUCGCCGAUUGAUCGCGAUUCAGGUAAGUAGUUGUGAGGUAAGGCUCACAGCGACGAUCCGUAGCUGUUCGAGAGACGACAGCCACACUGGAACUGAGACACAGCCAGACUCUACGGAGGCAGCAGUGGGGAUUUAGACAUUGAGCGCAAGCCUGAUCCAGCCAUGCGCGUGCGGGAAGAUGACUCGAGUGUAAACCGCUUUGUCAGGGAAGAAAAAGAUCUGCUAAUACCUGGGACUCAUGACGGUACCUGAAGAAUAAGCACCGGCCAACUACGUGCCAGCAGCGCGGUAAUACGUAGGGUGUAAGCGUUAAUCGGAAUUACUGUGCGUAAAGCGUGCGCAGGCGGUUAUGCAAGACAGAGGUGAAAUCCCCGGGCUCAACCUGGGAACUGCCUUUGUGACUGCAUGGCUAGAGUACGGUAGAGGGGGAUGGAAUUCCGCGUGUAGCAGUGAAAUGCGUAGAUAUGCUGAUGAAACACCGAUGGCGAAAGCAAUUCCCCUGGACCUGUACUGACGCUCAUGCACGAAAGCGUGGGGAGCAAACAGGAUUAGAUACCCUGGUAGUCCACGCCCUAAACGAUGUCAACUGGUUGUUGGGAGGGUUUCUUCUCAGUAACGUAACUAACGCGUGAAGUUGACCGCCUGGGGAGUACGGCCGCAAGGUUGAAACUAAAACGGGGUGAUACAUAGAAAUAUCUUCGUAGGAGUAUUUGGAGUUGCUUUAUGGACAGAGUGGUAAUUUCAUUUCGAUUUUCUCCAAAGUCAACUGGGGCAAAGAAUCAAAAAACGGCAGAUUGCCGAAAAAGGGGGCAUUCAUACACAAAAUCCCCGAGUUUUUUGAGGGUCCGGCUGAUAUUAGGCGACGAUCGCUUACAUUAUCAUCAGGCCCAAAAAGAAAAUAACUAAAAUAAUAACCAGAGGCAAAAAGAUAAUUUUCUUUCUGGGUUUCCUCUCAUUUUAAAUCUCAUGAUAUUUUCAACCCACUUUAUACACGGCCGUAUCAGGGGUUUUGAUUUAUUUUGAUAAAAAACUACCCCCCAAAAAUAAAACGUUUCCGCAGUACUGACUAAAGCCGGAAACAGGAAUCAAAAACACUCUGUACUAAAUGCAACAACUGAAUCAUCAAUAGAUCG
RNAcentral lists this ribosomal RNA (1184 nucleotides) under uncultured bacterium. RNAcentral describes it as "bacterial SSU rRNA". The stretch from base 1 to 754 matches the Rfam family "Bacterial small subunit ribosomal RNA". The record is from RNAcentral.